AGAGCGAACGCUGGCGGCAUGCUUAACACAUGCAAGUCGCACGGGCAGGGGUAACUCUGUCAGUGGCGGACGGGUGAGUAACGCGUAGGUAUCUAUCUCUGGGUGGGGGAUAACCGUGGGAAACUACGGCUAAUACCGCAUGACACCUGAGGGUCAAAGGCGCGAGCCGCCUGGAGAGGAGCCUGCGUUCGAUUAGCUAGUUGGUGGGGUAAAGGCCUACCAAGGCGACGAUCGAUAGCUGGUCUGAGAGGAUGAUCAGCCACAUUGGGACUGAGACACGGCCCAAACUCCUACGGGAGGCAGCAGUGGGGAAUAUUGGACAAUGGGCGCAAGCCUGAUCCAGCAAUGCCGCGUGGGUGAAGAAGGUUUUCGGAUUGUAAAGCCCUUUUGGCGGGGACGAUGAUGACGGUACCCGCAGAAUAAGCCCCGGCUAACUUCGUGCCAGCAGCCGC
RNAcentral lists this ribosomal RNA (452 nucleotides) under uncultured bacterium. Its description in RNAcentral is "SSU rRNA". It matches the Rfam family "Bacterial small subunit ribosomal RNA", at positions 26 to 518 of the family's 1533-position model. The record is from RNAcentral.